This 403-nucleotide ribosomal RNA is filed under the name uncultured bacterium. RNAcentral describes it as "partial 16S ribosomal RNA". It matches the Rfam family "Bacterial small subunit ribosomal RNA", at positions 30 to 526 of the family's 1533-position model. The record is from RNAcentral.
AUUGAACGCUGGCGGCAGGCCUAACACAUGCAAGUCGAGCGAGCGGCGGACGGGUGAGUAAUGUAUGGGGACUGCCCGAUAGAGGGGGAUAACUACUGGAAACGUUGGCUAAUCCCGCAUACUAUCGGCUAACCCCUAUGGGAUUAGCUAGUCGGUGGGGUAAAGGCUAACCUAGGCGACGAGCUCUAUCUGGUCUGAUAGGAUGAUCAGCCACACUGGGACUGAGACCCGGCGCAGACUCCUACGGAGGCAGCAGUGGGGAAUAUUGCACAAAGGGCGCAAGCCUGAUGCAGCCAUGCCGCGUGUAUGAAGAAGGCCUUAGGGUUGUAAAGUACUUUCAGCGGGGAGGCGAUAACCGAAGAAGAAGCACCGGCUAACUCCGUGCCAGCAGACGCGGUAAUAG